GAAACAUGGCAUUCUUUGCAAGGGUCCGGAGGAAUUAGCACAAAAGAACACUUAUGAAUAUAAUUCUUUGUAAAAGCCAACGCUUUUCACUUAUGUAUUCAUGCCAUGUAAAUAAGUUUUGAUUGAUGGUAGUUUAUCAUUUUUACAAUUUAAUUCGGCAUAUGAAAAAUAGGAUGUUUAGUGUUAUAAAGGCACCAUAAACAGGAAGAUGGAAGUGAGAAUCAUACAUUUUCUACAAGCAUUUUUAAUAUUAAUUAUUAUAAAUUGUAAUUAUAUUAGCAUCAUACUAAUAUUAAUAUAACUUAACCAAUAUGCAUCUAUAUAAAAAUAGCAUAGCCCGUGCGGACGCACGGGUUGACGACUAGUUAUGUUCUAACUGGUUGGAAUCUAUCUACAAUCAAGUUGUUCUCAUGCAGAUGGUAGUACAUGUGCACGCCGUGGUUUACAUGUUAUUUUUGCUCUCUUGCUGCAAGAAUCGAAGAAAACUGUUGUCCACAUGAUGACAAUGUUACAUGAUGACAAUGUUAGAAUCCUUACUAUUUAUAACUUUUGUAUGCAUGAAAGAUUAAAAAUGAAAACAAUAAUUUCCCUGUUUGUGAGGUGUACUUAUUAAGACUGGUGGCAUUGGGGAAAUCAUUAUCAAUGUUCUUUUAUAACUUAUCUGGUAAACAUAGUGUUAGUUGAGAACCCAUUAUAAGAACAAUUACUUCCUGUCGAAUUACUGGGUUAAAUAUGCUCUUUUUGCCAUUGCGCUUUCCGUCAACUUGUUUGCUCAAGCUCUCUGGUUUGGUUCCAGGAACGCAGGACUACAACCAGCAGCGACCGUCUCAGGAGCUGGUCGCCAAGGAUUUGCACGGCACCGAGUGGAAGUUUCGCCACAUCUAUCGAGGAGAAGGGCCAUGCCUAGACAAGCAGAAAUAUGCGGCUGCCUCCGGCUGGGGCUGGUGCAUCUUGGGCUGGGGCUAGUGUUGUGCUGGAUCAGCACCAUCGGGGUUGGCUGGGUUGGAUCAGCUCCGCUUGGGAGAAGUUGCAGCGGUGCCUGAGCGACAAGGAGAAGGCCUGGGUGCUGAUGUGUCAUUGUAUUGUGUAGAUGUGCCAUUGUUUUAUUGUACAAUUCUGUCCGUUCUUGCUAUAUUCAUGUGUAAGGAAAUGUAUUCAUGAGAUAUAGUUAUUGUAUUUUGUGAUAUUAUAUGAUGGAUGAUUUUAAUUCAACUUGGAGUUUUCUUGA
This is a long non-coding RNA of Hordeum vulgare subsp. vulgare (domesticated barley), 1228 nucleotides long. RefSeq lists it as uncharacterized. The transcript has 2 exons. The record is from RefSeq and is a predicted model, not a curated record. NCBI's taxonomy places the organism in Eukaryota, Viridiplantae, Streptophyta, Magnoliopsida, Poales, Poaceae.